This 479-nucleotide ribosomal RNA is filed under the name uncultured Bacteroidota bacterium. RNAcentral describes it as "bacterial SSU rRNA". It matches the Rfam family "Bacterial small subunit ribosomal RNA", at positions 355 to 832 of the family's 1533-position model. Lineage: Bacteria; Pseudomonadati; Bacteroidota. The record is from RNAcentral.
UAGGGAAUAUUGGACAAUGGGUGCGAGCCUGAUCCAGCCAUGCCGCGUGCAGGAAGACGGCCUUCUGGGUUGUAAACUGCUUUUGCCAGGGGAUAAAACGUCCAUGCGUGGAUAAUUGAAGGUACCUGGUGAAUAAGCCACGGCUAACUACGUGCCAGCAGCCGCGGUAAUACGUAGGUGGCAAGCGUUGUCCGGAUUUAUUGGGUUUAAAGGGUGCGUAGGUGGUCUUGUAAGUCAGUGGUGAAAUACGGCAGCUUAACUGUCGAGGUGCCAUUGAUACUGCAAGACUUGAGUACAGACGAGGUAGGCGGAAUUGACGGUGUAGCGGUGAAAUGCUUAGAUAUCGUCAAGAACACCGAUAGCGAAGGCAGCUUACUAGACUGUAACUGACACUGAGGCACGAAAGUGUGGGGAUCAAACAGGAUUAGAUACCCUGGUAGUCCACACUGUAAACGAUGAUUACUCGAUGUUGGCGAUAC